ACCAGUACGAGUAAUCGGGCGCCGGGAAGAAACGCACCUUAUCGUAACACCUGAGAACAAUUUACAUGACUUCCGGACCAGAAUAUGCAUUUAUCCGUACCGCCGAGCUCAAAAAGAGGAAACCGUUUUUUUCCAUGGUUUUGAGAAGAAUUACACACAAGUUAUGCAAAUAUAUACAAAAAUUUCUUAAGCUGCGAAAGAAAAGAUGCUUUCGCGUGAUAUAUUCUGCAUACAGACAAUUCACGACAGCGAGGAAAUGGGAAAUUUAUUAAAAGAUUGAAUUAAAAGAACGUGCAGAAAAUGAAAAUAAUAAUAGCUACAUACUACGGAGGAUAAAAUCAAAAGGAAAACUGAGAAAGGCAUACGGGACGAAUCUAAAACUUGUGUACUUCAUUUUCUAAGAGAAACUGAAGAGAAAUAUUUACAAAAGAUGUCCUUAUCGCAAGGACCUGCGUUUAUCAGUAUCACUACAAUGUCUACUUUCGUUAGAGAGUGCAGAGAGAUAUAUGUAUACAUGACAACAACAUGCUACCGGUGCUUUCCAAGUUCAUUCGGGAGGACUUCCGGCCCCCCCCGAACACUUGUAAGCGAAAAUAUACAGGAGGAGAGUACCUUGAAGUAACUAGAAUCUCCAUAGGUGGCAAAUAUUUUCAUACUGUCUUUUAUAUCUUUGAAAAAAAUUUGUUCCAUCAUUUGUUACGUUAUUAUUUAUUCGAAAUAUAAAAAAAAAAGAAUUUUCAAUUAUACAUUUUCAUUAUUU
Long non-coding RNA from Apis laboriosa (Himalayan honeybee), 760 nucleotides. RefSeq lists it as uncharacterized. The record is from RefSeq and is a predicted model, not a curated record. Lineage: Eukaryota; Metazoa; Arthropoda; Insecta; Hymenoptera; Apidae. The transcript has 4 exons.